GGGUAAGUCCCGCAACGAGCGCAACCCUUAUCUUGUUGCCAAGCGUUNGGCCGGGAACUCAAAGGAGACUGCCGGUGAUAANCCGGAGGAAGGUGGGGAUGACGUCCAAGUCAUCAUGGCCCUUACGGCCAGGGCUACACACGUGCUACAAUGGCGCAUACAAAGAGAAGCGACCUCGCGAGAGCAAGCGGACCUCAUAAAGUGCGUCGUAGUCCGGAUUGGAGUCUGCAACUCGACUCCAUGAAGUCGGAAUCGCUAGUAAUCGUAGAUCAGAAUGCUACGGUGAAUACGUUCCCGGGCCUUGUACACACCGCCCGUCACACCAUGGGAGUGGGUUGCAAAAGAAGUAGGUAGCUUAACCUU
RNAcentral lists this ribosomal RNA (363 nucleotides) under uncultured Enterobacterales bacterium. Its description in RNAcentral is "bacterial SSU rRNA". It matches the Rfam family "Bacterial small subunit ribosomal RNA", at positions 1078 to 1442 of the family's 1533-position model. The record is from RNAcentral. Lineage: Bacteria; Pseudomonadati; Pseudomonadota; Gammaproteobacteria; Enterobacterales.